UUGACCUCGGAUCAGGUAGGGAUACCCGCUGAACUUAAGCAUAUCAAUAAGCGGAGGAAAAGAAACCAACAGGGAUUACCUCAGUAACGGCGAGUGAAGCGGUAAGAGCUCAAAUUUGAAAGCUGGCUCCUUCGGGGUCCGCAUUGUAAUUUGCAGAGGAUGUUUCGGGAGCAGCCCCCAUCUAAGUGUCCUGGAACGGACCGUCAUAGAGGGUGAGAAUCCCGUAUGGGAUGGGGUGUCUGCGCCCAUGUGAAACUCCUUCGACGAGUCGAGUUGUUUGGGAAUGCAGCUCUAAAUGGGUGGUAAAUUUCAUCUAAAGCUAAAUAUUGGCCGGAGACCGAUAGCGCACAAGUAGAGUGAUCGAAAGAUGAAAAGCACUUUGAAAAGAGAGUUAAAAAGCACGUGAAAUUGUUGAAAGGGAAGCGCUUGCGAUCAGACUCGCCUUGGGGGUUCAGCCGGCAUUCGUGCCGGUGUACUUCCCCCAGGGCGGGCCAGCGUCGGUUUGGGUGGCCGGUCAAAGGCCCUUGGAAUGUAACGCCUCUCGGGGCGUCUUAUAGCCAAGGGUGCCAUGCGGCCUACCUGGACCGAGGAACGCGCUCGGCU
RNAcentral lists this ribosomal RNA (603 nucleotides) under Penicillium glabrum. Its description in RNAcentral is "eukaryotic LSU rRNA". It matches the Rfam family "Eukaryotic large subunit ribosomal RNA", at positions 1 to 606 of the family's 3401-position model. Lineage: Eukaryota; Fungi; Ascomycota; Eurotiomycetes; Eurotiales; Aspergillaceae. The record is from RNAcentral.